GUCUGACCAGACAUAGAGGGAACGAACAAGAGUGCUGCAAAUUGAAGCCGGAGGAAACGAAGUUGAUCGAAGUGGAAAAAGACGAUAUAUAAAAAGGUGUGGGACAUUCCAAAUGUUCCAAAAGUGAGCACUCCACGAAUGGACAACAGUUUGCAGGACCUCUCAGGCACCCACAACCAGCGUCUGAUCGGGAUGGAGCACCAACCCCAUUCCAGGAAGAGGUCCAGUCUGCCCCGGGUCAGAACCACUUCUACAGCAACUACACAACUGUGUAUGCACUUAUCAUUAUUGAUAGCCAGUCUGAGCCAGAAGACACAAUGGAGCAAAGCACAGAAUACCUGACUGCGGCACACAUUGUUGCAGAACUCUCUGCAAAAAUAACAAAUACAUCUUGCAGCAGGUUCAAUAUUAAGAGCCAAUGUGUGGGAUGGAGCAAUCCGCGACUUCAAAG
This is a long non-coding RNA of Gymnodraco acuticeps, 451 nucleotides long. RefSeq lists it as uncharacterized. NCBI's taxonomy places the organism in Eukaryota, Metazoa, Chordata, Actinopteri, Perciformes, Bathydraconidae. The transcript has 6 exons. The record is from RefSeq and is a predicted model, not a curated record.